This 522-nucleotide ribosomal RNA is filed under the name uncultured bacterium. RNAcentral describes it as "bacterial SSU rRNA". It matches the Rfam family "Bacterial small subunit ribosomal RNA", at positions 25 to 518 of the family's 1533-position model. The record is from RNAcentral.
CAGGACGAACGCUGGCGGCGUGCCUAAUACAUGCAAGUCGAACGGUCUUUCUAUGGAAGCUUGCUUCCACUGAGAAGAUAGUGGCGAACGGGUGAGUAACACGUGGGUAACCCUGCCCAUAAGAGGGGGAUAACAUCCGGAAACGGGUGCUAAUACCGCAUAGUUUUCUUGAUCGCAUGAUUGAGAAAGGAAAGACGGCCUUUGUGCUGUCGCUUAUGGAUGGACCCGCGGCGUAUUAGUUAGUUGGUGAGGUAACGGCUCACCAAGACGAUGAUACGUAGCCGACCUGAGAGGGUGAUCGGCCACAUUGGGACUGAGACACGGCCCAAACUCCUACGGGAGGCAGCAGUAGGGAAUCUUCCGCAAUGGACGAAAGUCUGACGGAGCAACGCCGCGUGAGUGAAGAAAAGGUUUUCGGAUCGUAAAACUCUGUUGUCAGAGAAGAACAAGUUGGAGAGUAACUGCUCCAGCCUUGACGGUAUCUGACCAGAAAGCCACGGCUAACUACGUGCCAGCCGCCGC